UACAGAGAGUGACUAUAUCCACUGCAACAUCUCUCUGGGGUGCUCAUUAAUAACACCACUCUGGGGAGCUGAUGUAUAUACAGAGCAUAGUAAAGGAGACAGAAGGUUAAAUGUGUACGUGACUGUCUGCGUGUGUGUUAUGUGGCUCUGUCCUCUUGGAAACACAAGGUGGGCUAGCCAGCAUGUCAGCCAAUCCCCAGCUGAGAAGAGAGCAGAAACAACAACCAGCCACCCAACCAAACAUGCAUUUAGUAAGCAAGCUGCCAGUCAGGUGAUUCACCAUCUGCCAAACACCAGUCAGUCAGCCAAGUGGUGUUCUUCCUCACGCUUACAGUGGAUAAUGAAAUAAACAUUUCUUUCUGUCUGUCUUGGGUUAGAUACAUUAAACAUCUCACAUGAGGAGCCAGUGUUGUGCUCUGUUCCUCAGCACAGCAGCCCUGUCCAUGUCCAUGCAUGCUAAAACCCUCUUUCCUUUUCUCACAGUGCCACACAUACAGUAACGGUGACGCAGCUUUUACUCUUCUGUCUCUGUUCUUGUUCGUGUAGCUUUAGAUGUACGAGCAUGAUCAGGGCACGGCAUGGAAUCUGACCGAGAGACUGAAAAAAUAUAUUUGUGACUGAUUUGAAUCUCAGACACGUCGGCACAAUCUGAAUGCAGAACAAUGAGCGGUGAAUGCAUCGUCUUUUCUCAGCAGAUAUUAGUGUUGUCACGAUACCAAAAUUCUGACUUCGAUACGAUACCCUGCCUAAAUAUCUCGAUACUGAUACUGAAACGAUACCACGGCAAAAAUCGAAAACAUCAGGACAAAUAAUGGAAUAAUAGAUGACAGAACAUGGACUUACUUUAUUU
Long non-coding RNA from Sebastes umbrosus (honeycomb rockfish), 850 nucleotides. RefSeq lists it as uncharacterized. The record is from RefSeq and is a predicted model, not a curated record. Lineage: Eukaryota; Metazoa; Chordata; Actinopteri; Perciformes; Sebastidae. The transcript has 3 exons.